This 507-nucleotide ribosomal RNA is filed under the name Lachesis muta (bushmaster). RNAcentral's name for it is "partial 16S ribosomal RNA". It matches the Rfam family "Bacterial large subunit ribosomal RNA", at positions 1816 to 2602 of the family's 2925-position model. The record is from RNAcentral. Lineage: Eukaryota; Metazoa; Chordata; Lepidosauria; Squamata; Viperidae.
AACCUUUAGCUAAACAAGUAUUAAAGGCAACGCCUGCCCAGUGAAAAUUAAACGGCCGCGGUAUCCUAACCGUGCAAAGGUAGCAUAAUCAUUUGUCUAUUAAUUGUAGACCUGUAUGAAAGGCAAAAUGAGAGCCUGACUGUCUCUUAUAACAAAUCAAUUAAACUGAUCUCUUAGUACAAAAGCUAAGAUACUAACAUAAGACCAGAAGACCCUGUGAAGCUUUAACUAACCUAUUAAAUCCAAUAAUAACUACUUUCGGUUGGGGCGACCUUGGAAUAAAAAAGAACUUCCAACAUAUGACUUCUCAUAAAACAAGGCAAACAAGCCAAUAUUAGACCCAGUAAUACUGAUAAUUGAAAUAAGUUACUCCAGGGAUAACAGCGCCAUCUUCUUUAAGAGCCCAUAUCAAAAAGAAGGUUUACGACCUCGAUGUUGGAUCAGGACACCCCAGUAAUGCAGCCGUUACUAAAGGUUCGUUUGUUCAACGAUUAAUAGUCCUACGUG